RNAcentral lists this ribosomal RNA (273 nucleotides) under uncultured bacterium. RNAcentral describes it as "partial 16S ribosomal RNA". It matches the Rfam family "Bacterial small subunit ribosomal RNA", at positions 524 to 796 of the family's 1533-position model. The record is from RNAcentral.
UACGGAGGGUGCAAGCGUUAUCCGGAUUCACUGGGUUUAAAGGGUGCGUAGGAGGGCAGGUAAGUCAGUGGUGAAAUCUCCGGGCUUAACUCGGAAACUGCCGUUGAUACUAUCUGUCUUGAAUACCGUGGAGGUGAGCGGAAUAUGUCAUGUAGCGGUGAAAUGCUUAGAUAUGACAUAGAACACCAAUUGCGAAGGCAGCUCACUACACGAAUAUUGACUCUGAGGCACGAAAGCGUGGGGAUCAAACAGGAUUAGAUACCCCAGUAGUCC